UUGACAUUAUUGUUAUUGCUGCUAUCGAAUUGAAUAACUACCCGCCCAUGGGUCUAAAACACUGGCGCGAUGACGCACACAUCAUCUCCCAUAUCCCUUGAAUGUUGAAUCUGGAUUACAUUCUCAUCCAUCAACUUCUGGAUAUCCCUUUUGACAAUCAUACACCCACGGGGGUUCACACUGCAAAUGACACAACCAUCAUGGUCAUGUUCACAAUCACUAAUCAAACAUAGAUUUAUAUGCAUCUCCAC
This 251-nucleotide long non-coding RNA is filed under the name Lathyrus oleraceus (garden pea). Its description in RNAcentral is "Pisum sativum (pea) long non-coding RNA (PSAT_LNC009699)". The record is from RNAcentral. Lineage: Eukaryota; Viridiplantae; Streptophyta; Magnoliopsida; Fabales; Fabaceae.